This is a long non-coding RNA of Chiloscyllium plagiosum (whitespotted bambooshark), 3045 nucleotides long. RefSeq lists it as uncharacterized. NCBI's taxonomy places the organism in Eukaryota, Metazoa, Chordata, Chondrichthyes, Orectolobiformes, Hemiscylliidae. The record is from RefSeq and is a predicted model, not a curated record.
CGUGACGUCAACACCGGUUGGGCUGACGCAGGAGCAUGCGCACAGUUAAUAUGGAUUGUGAGAAUUUGCGCCGGAUGUCAUAGCUGGAAAGAAAUGUUAGUGUCUCCCAUUCACAGGCGAGCAUUGAACAAUUUGAGAGCUGGAUAGAAAACAAGAGACAGAGGAGCCAGUCCAAAAGCUUCUAAACUCAUUCUGUCCGUCCUUGAUCUCCUUGAACUGCUGCAGUUCGUGUGGUGAAGCUGUCUGAAAAGGGGUAAAAGAAUUUUCAUCCAGUGGUGAUAAGCCUUCCCUGAACCAGUCAGGCUGAAGCAAAAUCCUGGAGCAGGGUCUGUUCGUUAUGGGAGAGAGGGAGUGUCAGAAACCCAAGACAGUUGGGACCCACUGGAAUGGCUGAGAAGAACGUAGUGCAGUUUCUCCGUUCCUGGGAAGUACUGGACAAUGAAGGGUACCCGAUCGGUUGCAGUUCAUGUCUGUCUCCUGAGGAAGUCAUUACAGUUUCUCACUGUGGCACAUCAGAACUGGCGAUUGAUGAGUGUUUUGCAAAUGAACGAUUUCAAAUUAAACCACAUCUGGAUCUGACAGUCAUUCUGUUUGCAAUGACCUCAUUAUCUCAGGAUUUUGAACACUGAAGGAAAAAGCACUGUUCACACCGGGGAGAAACACAUACUGUGUGUAUGGAAAGGUCUGUGAAGAUUCAUCUGAAAUGCCCAAACUCCAGCGCAGUCACACUGGGGAGAGAUGAUGGAAAUGUAGGGAUUGUGAGAAGGGAUUUCUUUACCCAUCCCAGCUGGAAAUGUACCAACCUAGUCACACUGAGGAGAAGCUGUUCAUCUAAUCUGAUUGUGGGAUGGGAUUGACUCAGUCAUCCAACUUGCAGAUACACCAGUGCCGUUACACUGUGGAGAAGCCAUUCACUUGAUCUGUGUGUGGGAAAGAUUUCAUUCAGUCAUCCAACCUACAGAUACACCAGAGAGUUCACACUGCAGAGAGACUGUUCAAUUGCUGUCAGUGUGGGUUGGAAUUCACUCGCCCAUCCAGCCUGCAGAUACACCAACGCAGUCACUCUGUGGAAAGACCAUUCACUUGCUCCGUGUGUGGAAAGGGAUCCACUCAGUCAACCAACCUGCUGAUCCACCAGUGAAUUCUCACUGGAGAGAGACUGUUCACCUGCUCCCAAUGUUGGAGAGGGUUUAACCAAUCAUUCCACCUGCGCAGAAACCAGGGAGUUCACACUGAAAAAAAAAAUCCUCUCAGUCAACUCAACUGCUGACAAAUCAGUGUCUUCAUUCUGGAGAGAGACUGUUCACCUUUCCCACCCUACCAUCCAAACUGUUAACGCAGCACUGAAAUGACACUGGGUGGAUCGCGUUCACCUGCUCUGUUUGUGUAAAAGGAUUUGUGUUUGCAAACACAUCAGGAAAUUUACAAAGAACUGCAGGUGAAGGGUUUUGCUUGUACUUACACCAAGCAAUGUGCCUUGAUCAUUGGGCUGUUUGUAUUGACAUUAUUAAACUCUACUCUAUUAAAGAUACUAAUAUUGUAGGUAAAAUGUUGAUACAAUGUGUAUCUGCUUAAUAGGUUUCAAAAAUGAUCACAACGUUGCUGUGAUAUAUAUACACUAGGUGAAGACUGUUCACCUGCAUAUUGUUUGUGAAGUGAUUUUGUGGUUCGUCAGGACUGGUUAGACAGCAAUGAGUUCCCUGGUAACUGUCAGCAUUGGGUUUUGAAACUGUUGUUUUCAAGGACAAGAAUGGGUCUGCAAUUAAGGUUCUGAAUUGGGUGAUUUUAAUAAGGCCAGAUAUGAUUUGGCCAGAGUGCACAGGGAGCAGAUACUUUCAGGUAAAUGUGCAAAAGAGAACUGAACUUUGGAGAUAAGGAGAACUAUAAGGGGAAUGAAUUGAUGCUGCCAAGUAAAAUAAAGAAGAACGCUCAGUUGUUUACAGGUACAUUUAUGGUUAAAUGAUUACAGGGGAAAGAUAAGGCCCAUUAAUGACCACAGCAGUAAUCUGUGUGUAGAACCAGAGGAUACAAGCAUGGUUCUAAAUUAAUACUUUGUGUCAACAUUCACUCGUGAGAGAGAUGAAUCAGGAAGAAGGUCUGUGACGGAAUGUAAAGAAAUUAGCAAAGAGAGAGAGAGAGGAAGUAUUGAGUAGUCUGGCAGGCUUAAAUGCAGAUCAAUAUCCCAGGGUCAAGUGAAAUAAAUCCUACAUUGUUGGAUCGAAAUAGCAGGAGGUCUUGCAAAAAUAUUCAAUUCCCCUCUGAUCACAGGAAAGGUGCUUGAGCACUGAAGGACAGUCAAAGUAGAACUUUAAUUCGAGAAGGCAGCAAGGGAUAAACCAAGGAACUGCAAGUCCGUCGGUCUCACCUCGGUGAUGGGGAGACUAUUGGAAGUAAUUCUGAUGGACAGAUUUAUUUGGAGAGGCAGGGAUUAAUCAAAAACAAUCAGGAUGCAUUUUGUCAAGGGGAGUUCAUGCCUAACCAACUUGGUUCAAUGUUUUGAUGAGGUGUCCAGUUGGGUCAAUGAGUGCAAUAUUUCUGAUGUAGUCUGUUUGGACAUCAGCACGGCUUUUGAUAAAGAGAGACUGAUAGCAAAGUUAAGUGCCCAUGGGGUCCACAGAAAUUUGGCAAAUUGGAUCCACAAUCAGCUGAAUGGCAAGAAAGGGUUUUUUUUUUCCUGACUGGCUGCCUGUGUCCAUUGGGGUCCCACAGUGUUCAGUGUUGCACUCUUGCUGUUUAUGGUUUAAAUAAAUGAUUUUGACAUGAAUGAAAGAAGGUUAAUCAGUUAGUUUGCAGAUGAGAUAAAAAAAAACACAGUUGGGAAAUAGUGAGCAGGACAGCCUUAGUUUACAGGAGGGUAAAGACAGGCUGGUCAGAUGAGCUGAUCAAUGGUAAAUGUAACUCAAUCUGUAUUAGUGACAUAUUUGGAUGGGACAACUGGUCAUUACAUUCAGCUGUUAUCCAAAAUAUUAGUCCUAGUAAAUCUCCUCUGAACCCUUUCCAAAGCUUCCACGUCCUUCCUAUAAUGUGGUGAGCAGAACUGUAUGC